RNAcentral lists this ribosomal RNA (253 nucleotides) under uncultured bacterium. RNAcentral describes it as "partial 16S ribosomal RNA". It matches the Rfam family "Bacterial small subunit ribosomal RNA", at positions 524 to 776 of the family's 1533-position model. The record is from RNAcentral.
UACGUAGGUGGCAAGCGUUGUCCGGAAUUAUUGGGCGUAAAGGGCGCGUAGGCGGCCACGCACGUCCGUUGUGAAAUCGCCCGGCUCAACUGGGCGGGGUCAGCGGAUACGGUGUGGCUCGAGCAAGCUAGGGGGCAAUGGAAUUCCCGGUGUAGUGGUGGAAUGCGUAGAUAUCGGGAGGAACACCAGUGGCGAAGGCGGUUGCCUGGAGCUUUGCUGACGCUGAGGCGCGAAAGCGUGGGGAGCGAUCCGG